Molecule: long non-coding RNA, 2752 nt
Organism: Papaver somniferum (opium poppy)
Lineage: Eukaryota; Viridiplantae; Streptophyta; Magnoliopsida; Ranunculales; Papaveraceae
Exons: 5
Source: RefSeq, a predicted model, not a curated record
CUACGGUAUCAUUUUCACAUAACUUCCUCUCUCGUACGAAAUUCUCACACCAGAAUAACACGAAGUUUCCAACCCCAUCAUCCACAAAAUCUAGCUGGUAAUUUUCCCCAGUGUCCAAAUCCCUAACUGCGAUAGUAUGGCCAUGACAACGAUCAUUCAAUUGGACCCCCCACACCCAAUGUGGAACAACCUCAUCAAAUAAUCGUUUGGGAAGAACAAACCCAUGUAGCAAGUCUACUGGGUGGAGAAAUUUAAUCGCCUCCCACUGAACAUGAUAGUCUUUGGGAUUGAGUAGGAAAUCCUUUAGUUCUGGGUCAAUUGUUUGGGUGAUCGUAAAAUCAUAAUGAAUGAAGAAAAACAAAGUGCGACGGGUUUCAUCAUAACCUAAACUAAAUACACCGUUCACCCCAAUCUGAAUCCUGCUUUGUAUUCCAGCCCAAAAUAUAUGAAACUUCAGUUUUUGCCAAUCCAAAGUCACUGUUAUCUUCCUGUUGGAAUCGAUACUAGUAUUGUAUUUGAAGCGAUGAAUGCACACAUCGAUUUGAACGUGAUCGACAGCACCUGACCUUAACCCGUAUGGAAACUAAUUCCUUGGUCCAAAUCCUGCUCUGUCAACAUCUUUUCAACUCGAAGCGAUUCUGGUUCUAGAUCAGCUUGGGGUACUUCUUCUUCUUGGGGUACUUCUUCUUCUUCUUCUUCUUGGGUUAAAAAAGGCGGUAACGGAUCCAUACGAACCCCAGGUAGAUAUUUCAGGAAUACAAAUAACAAAAAAGAAUUCAUCUUUUUGAAUUUCAAGAGGUAUUAGGGUUUCCGAAGAGGUUAAUGGAAGAGAUUAGGUUUUCAAAAUUUUCCGAGAAAGAAAAUUCUGGUGCAGAAGAAAGUGGGUUUAGGAUUCUUUAAGUAAUUGAAAGAUGGUUUGAUUGUUAACGAUGAAUACAGAAAGGGGUUUUCGUUUCAAAGAUUAAUCAAAGAGUUUGGGUCUUCAAAUUCUUCCGAGAAAGAAAAUUUCUUCUGCAAAUCAGGGUUUUUGAAGUUGGGAACUGAAUGAUGGGUUUAUUGAUAACAAUGAAUAGAACUGAAAUUGAAAACAAAGAUCAUGAUGAAACAGAGGUUUGGGUAACAUAAUCAGAGCUCAUGGAGAAAGGGGUUUCGGAAACAGAAGCAGAGCUAUUGGAGAAACAAUUGGGAAGAAAAAGAAUUCGAAUUUAUAUACGUUGUGACGGAAUUAAAUGAGCAGAGACAAGAAAAGGAAUGUAGCCGUUAUAUCUAUGCUUUGUUUCCAACUUUCAAUAAAUGCGCGUUCUUUGCGGUUAGUGCCUUAGAACAUGUGCAGCUAGUGUUUAUAGGAAUUAAAAGCUGUUGCUUGGUAUACUGUAUUAGACGUGAUUGUGACAGCCUUGCUGCUGUGGGUCUUUCCUAAUUAUUAUCAUCCCUGUGCGAUGGGUACUUCUAAACAAGACAGAAACUAUUGAAGAGGAGAUUUAAAAGUAAAGGGUAGCUUAUAGUGUUCAUGAAUUCUUUUCUGCAUACCCAUAUGAAAAACUGAUUGUGCUUCUUAGAUGUGGUGUAUUGGGAUUAUGUGCAUUCGACGAGAGCCUUACGAAGGCACUUCGGCUCGACUUUCAUUACGGAUGCUGGAAAUCAUGCCGAUAGGGUUGGCACUGGACCAAGGAUAGUUUCUAUUAUCUAUUAGUUCAAGAGAAAUGCUUAUACUCGCAAUGAUGCUCGGUCUUGUUUCGGGUGCAACCUCUGGGAAGAUGGAUUCAUUAAGGAAGUGGGGAAGAGUGAAGUCAUGGAUUGGAGAGCAGUCAUAUACUAAUCCUUGGAUGGAGUGACAAAUUGAUAUGGGAGGACAUUUUAGGAUUUGAAAAUGCAAAGUUUUACAUCAAAAGGUGUUCACAGUUGUACCCUUUAUGCUUCAAAGAUGUGCUAAUUUCAUUUCCAGAUGCAGUAAUUUGUGGAAUUUAAGGUUGCUGCAAACGGCGGGGAGAUUGUUCUUUAUCUGGAUGAUGAUUAUGUUCAAGCUGAGGAUGAUGAUAUCUGUAGCCCGGAUCCCAUACCAGAGAUGCUGCAGGUACGCAGCGGAUAUUUCCCCAGUGUUUUUAUCUCUCUAAAAUAUCCAGAGAAGUUACUAUUCAGUGGUUAGCGUCGUGACAUCAUGAUCAUGGUGAGGCAUUGUUGGCUCAAGGUUCAGAAUUAGUGAGUUUUCAGUUGAAGAAAGAGAGAGGAAACACACUGAUUCUGGACUAGCGAACCUAAGUCUUGUCCUAGGGCCUGCAGGUACUGCCAAUAUUUUGAGAGGACAUAGUGGAAUUUGAGAGUUCAGGCAAUGGGCUUGGGUAUUACAAGUAACCAUAUUGCAGAGACCUUGGUAGAGUGGUGGCAGGAUUAGAAUCUGGCAAUUGACUGGUAUGUUUUCUGAAGUAAGGUGGCUUCGGCUUCACAAAAUAUUGUUGGCUUGUUGCAGCUAAAUGGAGUAGACUUAAAAGCAAUUCCAUUCUGUGGUUGUUGGCUUGUUGCAGCUAAAUGCAGUAGACUUAAACAUUAUGAGGAAAUCAGUUAUGAACAUCCAGACAAGGAGGUUAGUUUUGCAGAGGAUAGACUGCAAGAGAGUCGCCUGCGAGAUUUGAAAAGCCUGACUUUGUAUACUGAGUAGAUGAGCAGGGAGUCAGAUACUGUAAAUUUGUAUAUUUGUCACCUUUUUGUUAAUUUUGUGGAGUCCUAUGCUUCAGUUAUCAAUUCUUUGUAGCUA